GGGGAUGUAAAGGUUUCGACGGGGACGGAGAAGCUUGGUAAGCGAGUAGCGGUGAGGCGCCGCUUUAAAAGCCUCAACUUAAAAACAAACGACAACACUAAAAACGUUGCUUUAGCUGCUUAAUGCAGCUCGUCUGCCCGGGAGUACCGCGGCCCGGGACAAGGCGUCGACAGCGGUUUCUGUGAACAGCCCACGCCUUUAAGCUGUCACACAUCAAAGGCUACCGAAGCGCAUAGCCUGUUAUUGGGCGCUGCGUCGGGGGAAUCCUAAACCAAUAACUGCACUCGGAGAAAACCUUGUGGAACUGUUUUCGGACGUGGGUUCGAUUCCCACCAUCUCCACCA
RNAcentral lists this transfer-messenger RNA (344 nucleotides) under Ruminococcus sp. It matches the Rfam family "transfer-messenger RNA". From Rfam's summary of the family: Bacterial tmRNA, also known as 10Sa RNA or SsrA, is named for its dual tRNA and mRNA-like properties. Its role is to liberate the mRNA from a stalled ribosome. The record is from RNAcentral. RNAcentral also lists the same sequence under 2 other names. Lineage: Bacteria; Bacillati; Bacillota; Clostridia; Eubacteriales; Oscillospiraceae.